RNAcentral lists this ribosomal RNA (894 nucleotides) under Conlarium baiseense. Its description in RNAcentral is "partial 28S large subunit ribosomal RNA". It matches the Rfam family "Eukaryotic large subunit ribosomal RNA", at positions 23 to 952 of the family's 3401-position model. The record is from RNAcentral. Lineage: Eukaryota; Fungi; Ascomycota; Sordariomycetes; Conlariaceae.
ACCCGCUGAACUUAAGCAUAUCAAUAAGCGGAGGAAAAGAAACCAACAGGGAUUGCCCUAGUAACGGCGAGUGAAGCGGCAACAGCUCAAAUUUGAAAUCUGGCUUCGGCCCGAGUUGUAAUUUGUAGAGGAUGCUUUUGGUGCGGUGCCUUCUGAGUUCCCUGGAACGGGACGCCAUAGAGGGUGAGAGCCCCGUAUAGUUGGACACCUAGCCUUUGUAAAGCUCCUUCGACGAGUCGAGUAGUUUGGGAAUGCUGCUCAAAAUGGGAGGUAAAUGCCUUCUAAAGCUAAAUACUGGCCAGAGACCGAUAGCGCACAAGUAGAGUGAUCGAAAGAUGAAAAGCACUUUGAAAAGAGGGUUAAACAGCACGUGAAAUUGUUGAAAGGGAAGCGCUUGUGACCAGACUUGCGCCAGGUGGAUCAUCCAGCGUUCUCGCUGGUGCACUCUGCCUGGUUCAGGCCAGCAUCGGUUUUCUCAGUGGGAUAAAGGCUCUGGGAAUGUAGCUCCUUCGGGAGUGUUAUAGCCCGUUGCACAAUACCUCUGAGGGGACCGAGGUUCGCGCUCUGCAAGGAUGCUGGCGUAAUGGUCAUCAGCGGCCCGUCUUGAAACACGGACCAAGGAGUCAAGCAUUAGGGCGAGUGUUUGGGUGCAAAACCCGCACGCGUAAUGAAAGUGAACGUAGGUGAGAGCUUCGGCGCAUCAUCGACCGAUCCUGAUGUAUUCGGAUGGAUUUGAGUAAGAGCCUUACCGCUUGGACCCGAAAGAUGGUGAACUAUGCUUGUAUAGGGUGAAGCCAGAGGAAACUCUGGUGGAGGCUCGCAGCGGUUCUGACGUGCAAAUCGAUCGUCAAAUAUGAGCAUGGGGGCGAAAGACUAAUCGACUUGCCAAUAACG